CAGUCGCCGCGGUAAUACGGAGGGUGCAUGCGUUACUCGGAACCACUGGGCGUAAAGGACGCGUAGGCGGAUUAUCAAGUCUCUUGUGGAAUCUAACGGCUUAACCGUUAAACUGCUUGGGAAACUGGUAAUCUAGAGUAAGGGAGAGGCAGAUGGAAUUCUUGGUGUAGGGGUAAAAUCCGUAGAUAUCAAGAAGAAUACCUAUUGCGAAGGCGAUCUGCUGGAACUUAACUGACGCUAAUGCGUGAAAGCGUGGGGAGCAAACAGGAUUAGAUACCCCUGUAGUCCCUGUCUCUUAUAC
This 301-nucleotide ribosomal RNA is filed under the name uncultured bacterium. Its description in RNAcentral is "partial 16S ribosomal RNA". It matches the Rfam family "Bacterial small subunit ribosomal RNA", at positions 509 to 807 of the family's 1533-position model. The record is from RNAcentral.